Molecule: long non-coding RNA, 914 nt
Filed under: Ananas comosus (pineapple)
Lineage: Eukaryota; Viridiplantae; Streptophyta; Magnoliopsida; Poales; Bromeliaceae
Description: long non-coding RNA (ACOM_LNC042196)
Source: RNAcentral
AUCAGUGUAGUAGGGACCAGGUGAACAGGUAAGUGUGGUGAUACCCGAGCAUGCUUAUGCGGUGAGAGUGUGGCGCCUGCUGGGGCAGGUAGAGAGCCAAGCGGCACUAGCAAAUGGCUAGUAAUAGUCCUUGGACGAGAAAUGAGACUCGUGGCGAACAUGAAAUAGUGAAGUAACUCUCAAGGCAAUGGAUAGGAGAUUGCGAGAGUUGAGCCAUGAUGUUUGAGGAUACCCGAAGAGUCCGGAAAUUUCGGAUGUGGUUCCAGUAGAUCGAGCAGUGAAAGUAGAUCACUGAUGAGAGAAUGGUUGGUUAAUGCCAAGUUUAGCCUCUGGGCCUUGUAGUACCUCGAAUUGAGGUAGGUGAGUAGUGCUCGUGUAGUCGGUGUGCAUAGGCAAAGUGGCCUAAUCCUGGACUUCGUGUGAGACGCUGUAGAAGUGUGGAGCGCUCGAGUGUGGGUACUCGUAGAGUGUAGUUUCGAUUCAGCCGAGUGAGUGAGUUGGCAGUAGCACUUCAGCAUUGCUAAGUGUGAAGCGGGCCAUGGAUUACUCGUAGGGCUGGUGGCUCGCACUGGUGCUUAGGAGCCGAUAGUGGUACUUGUAGCUCUGUGGAGCAUGUCGUGUAGGACGACGUUGGCGGGUAUUGCUUGGGGACGACCCAUGCCUGGACCACUUGUGGACUGUAGAGCCUGGGCCGUUGGGUAGGCACAGUCGGCUGUUUGAGACAGCGGCCCGGUACCUACGGGUAGGGCAGAGUUUUGGUCAGGACGGUAGUCCGAGCUUGGACCCGGGAGCGUGGAAUGCCACGCAUUAGAGCAUGAGAUCGAUGAUGCACUAAGAGUGCGGUUGUGACCCAACCCGAGGACUUGACGUGGUUUAGGGUCUUGGUUGCUCCUGGUUAGAGUGUGUGCGAAUUC